ACUGUCAAUCUUUUGUGAGAAACCCAUAAGAGCAGAAGAUGGGUCGCUCAGCAGCAGUACCUGGAUUUGGGAACUCAUUACUGGUGGAGAUUAGGAUGACCACAAAUCUCUCUGGCUUUAAAGCAAAGCAAAGCGAAAAACUUACUUCCUUGGCUUAGUUCUCACUUUUUCAUGUUCUCCAGAUGAAGGUGAGAAAGAAGAAGAGAGAGGAAAGAAGCAAAGGAAAAAGGAAGACUGAGAGAAGAAAGCAAACAGAGGGAAGAGAUGGGAAGAUGGUAGACAAUGCCCUUAGAAGGACCCUCACUGAGAGAUCCAACUUGUUUAUGGGUUUAAAGACUGGAGGUGACCAUUCUAACCAUUAGUACACCUUCAGUGGAAAAUAUGCAUGUAUCACCUGAUAAUUCCUGUAUCAAGUCCACUAUUUCAAUGUGAUUGAGAGUAUGACUUUUUCAAAGACCAUGAAGAAUGCAUCCAAUAAUGCAAGUAGAUUUAGAAGAGGAAACUCUGGAUUUCAGCGCUUAACUUCAAGGAAACCAAGACUGUUCUUCUUCAUUGGAAAAAUGGGAAGACAGCUCUCAGAGAAGGGAAUGGGUGCCCAGAUCGCAACUUGUUUGAAGCAUUGCCACCCAAAAAGACACAAGCAAACAGACUUCAGGACUUCCAGUGAAGACAACCAGAAAAACAGUGCUAACCAAAGCGUUCUAAAAGGAAACAGUGAGGAAGGUCUCUUCAGAAGUGCAAAACUCAACUAAAAUAAAACUCUAAUGAAGAAACA
This 775-nucleotide long non-coding RNA is filed under the name Numida meleagris (helmeted guineafowl). Its description in RNAcentral is "lncRNA (ENSNMEG00000008723.1)". Lineage: Eukaryota; Metazoa; Chordata; Aves; Galliformes; Numididae. The record is from RNAcentral.